UCUUGACUCAGAAGGAGGGAAGAGGAGCAAGAUUCAAGCACAGAUGAAGAGAUCUCUGGCCCUCAACUUGAGCUUUUUGUCUUGGCUCCAGUACUGAUCACUCAGCCUGAUGGCACACAGGCUGUUCCCAAGUGCACAGACUUUUCACAGACUGAACUUUGACUCUUCCUAGUACACAACCUUGCUAGAGACUUGCAUGAACAUUGGCAGUUCCUCUAGGUCUCCAGGAAAACUUGUUGUGGUCCUUGC
This 249-nucleotide long non-coding RNA is filed under the name Cavia porcellus (domestic guinea pig). RNAcentral describes it as "lncRNA (ENSCPOG00000040531.1)". Lineage: Eukaryota; Metazoa; Chordata; Mammalia; Rodentia; Caviidae. The record is from RNAcentral.